UGGUGGAGUGAUUUGUCUGGUUAAUUCCGUUAACGAACGAGACCUCGGCCUACUAAAUAGUACGCUCUAUGGUGACAUAUGUGCGAGACUUCUUAGAGGGACACGUCGGGUUUACCGGCGGGAAGUUCGAGGCAAUAACA
RNAcentral lists this ribosomal RNA (140 nucleotides) under uncultured eukaryote. Its description in RNAcentral is "partial 18S ribosomal RNA". It matches the Rfam family "Eukaryotic small subunit ribosomal RNA", at positions 1299 to 1458 of the family's 1831-position model. The record is from RNAcentral.